GCCUUUGUUUCAUAACCCAGGCUUAACUGCGCAGGCUCGAAAAGUCCUCACUUUGCUUGCCAGAACUUGUCUGUGCCUGCAUGGCCUUGUGUUCAGGGGUCUCUUUCUGGUCCAUUGGGUGACCUCAAGACCCUUGGCAAGCUUCUGGGCAUGCUUUUCUUCGUUGGCCUUUGUAACAGGGAGGAGGUAGGGGGUAAGUUUGGCUGAAGCAGCAGGUGAAAAUCCAUCUUCUGGACAGCAGCUAUUGUCCUCAGGCUGGAGAGACCCAUAUAACACAAUUCCUUUUAGGAGGUGGGGGCAAGUUUGGCUGAGUCAGCAGGUGAAAUCCACACAGCAGCCAUUGUUACCGGUAGCCCCUGGGUUGGAGAGACCUGCGCAACACAUUUAUCCUCCUCAGGCCUCUCUCCAAGUCAUUGUCCAAUUCUUUCUAUCAGGGCUUCUGUUCCCUGAUGGUGAUGUUCAGGCAAAUACUGUUCUUCAGACCAACUCUUACAAUCACCCUCCUGAGCAUCUUGACUUUUUACCUUUGUUUUAUGUGUUAAAUAAUUGAGAUCUGCCAAGAUUGAUCUAAUAUGACUGAAGAUUCUACAUCCAGGGGUUAAAAUCAGCUGUCUUGUUCAGUAAGAGAGCAUAUAGGCUCCCUAGAUGCCACUAUUUGGUCACAAAGAAGUGUAAGAAAUGUGAUAGGAAGGCGAAACUGUCUUUCCCAUUUCAAUGGUAGUGGCAAACCAAAGCUCCCUGUGGUACAUACCACAGUAGUUAGCUGCAGCCUGAUCUUGUGAAGAGAGCCACAAAUGUACUGGAACACUAUGUAUAAUCUUACUGGCUCUCCUUAUGUCUGCAGCAUUUUAUUUAUAUUUUGGAUUAAUUAUUAACAGUUUAAAAUCUUUUUAGCCCUAUAAAGAUGCAGGUCCAUGCUGGUAAAACACUCUUGGGUUGUCAGGAAUUGCAAGUAGAGGAACCUUCCAAAUCAAGAUAACUUUGGAGAUGCCUGAUUGUCUCUGCUCAGUUGGUGACACAAAACAUUCUCUGUGUCUGGUGUCUGCCUCUCUUAGUAUGUUUUCAUAAAGUUCAAGGAUCCUAAUUUUACUUUUACUUUCUUUUAAUAACAGAAGAGGAAGCAUUGCUCUAGAUCUCAUACAUUCGUUUUCACAGAGAUGUAUAGUUCCUUAUACUCUAACCCACUUUAAAUUAAAGAGCAUUUGUUCAGGUGUUCUUUAGGUUUUCCAGGACAGAACAGCCAGCGAUAUGUAUCUGGACUAACUGAGCUGAAAUCUCUCAUCAAAGACACAACCCUGUUUGUCAAGGGAUUAAGUCUGUUCCUUCACCAUGUGCUGCUCUGUGAAUCUCAGACCAAGGUCAGAAUCAGCUUUUAGGCAUCAAUUUUGACUGCUUCAGCAGGGCUAACAGGAGCUGGAUUCCUCUGAUGUUCCCUUAAGGAGUCUGCAGUAGCUCACUGUGAUGGAAAGUCACAGUUGUCCUAAAGGCACUUUGUGUGCUCAUUCCUCAGAUGGCCUGGAGGCUUGCAGCUGUACCUGCAACAUCAUUGUAAACCUUCCUUCUCACUGUGAGCUCCAUUUUGAGCUCAGAGAAGAUGUCCUCAUCACAGCAACUGCCUCCGUGAUUCUCUGCAUGGGUGACUCUCAGUUCCUAGUCCAAGCAAACCCAGACAUUGGGUCCUUUUCCAGCCUCUGAAGUUGUAGGCUGCCUUGUUCCAAGUCUGAAUCACAGGAACACUACUCUGCUCUAGUGUGGAGGAAACCUUUUUUUUUUUUUCUUUCUUUUCCUGAAAUAGCUUCUUUGUUUUCCUUGGAUUUAAUUCUGUGCAUCCAAGCAGAAAGUUAAACAGUGUAAAACUGAAGAAAAUUAAUCACGUAACAUGCAGAAAAGAUAAACUGGGGACAUGUUUGUUAUUACAUUAGCUUCCUACCUAUGUCCUUGACAUGAAUUACUGGAACACCGGAGAGAACUAACCAGCUUGGAAUUUAUUUUUAAAUAUGUAUUGUCAUAAUGUGGGUCCUUUCUUCUUUGCACUUAAUUUUAAUGAAAGAAAAAAGCAAGUGUUGGCAUAAUAUUAUUGCAAAUCAUCUCCCUGGAAUAGUUAAUUCUUGUAAGUGGUAGCAGCUUUCUGUUGCCAUUAUCUUACUGAAAUUACUUCCUUAGCUAAACUGUUUAGGGCUGAUGCUAAAGAUAAGUGUAUGAAAACCAGCUUACGCAUUCUGCCCUUCUAGAAAUGAACUUUGUGACUGAUUAGAGUGAUUAAAGUGUGACUGAUUAAAGAUGAAAAAAGACUUGCUUUGGGAAGAAACAAGCUACUCGCUGGCGUUCUCGGCUCUCAGUUUUGGUGCUCCUGAUGACAGCUCUAGAUGAUUUCUGCCUGCUGUGGUGAAUCCAGCUCUCCUUUUCAUUCAGUUCCCAAUACAUGCUUUUAUAGGCUCUUUCAUUCUUCCUAAGUGUGGAGGGGAUAAUAAGGAUUUUGUAGAGGGAAUAUUGACUUGUUUCAUUGGGACAGUUUAGGUACUGAAUAAGCUCAAGAUUUGAAAUGAGAGGUGGUUUCUCAAACACUCAGACUCACAGAAACUGUCUUUGUUUUAUAAUCCUGGUACCAGCAUGGACUUUACUGUUGUGAGACUACUUGCACUUUUAAUAUUAAAUAUAUAGUUUUUUUCUUUUUUUUGGUAGAAUUUUGGCUGUAAAUUAUUAGAAUAAAAUAAAAAAUGAAUGUAAAAUAAACAAAUUGCUAACAGGUGUCUCGCCUGCCAGUGAAAUGCAGCUCCUCUCUGAGAUGAAGCACAACAGUACAACUCAUGGUUGUAUUUAGCUCAAUAAAAACCACAAGACCAAUUUAAUGAAACAGAACAUGAAAUAACAGAAAGGAUUCUGAAAAAAUUCCAAGUGCCAUUUCCUUGAAUGCCAUAUAUUUAAGUCCUGUAUUUUUUUCCUAUAAAAUUAUCACAAAUAAUUAAUUAUAAUUCUCUUCCUCCUGAGUGCUCCCUUCUGGUAUUCAGCAGUGCAGUACUGGAACAAACCUGACAGAUGUGCUCCUUUAUGACAGUUUUCUGUCAGGGUAACUGUGUCCUUUUUUUGUCAGGAAUUUAGUUAAAGACUCAUUAAAAGUAUUGUUGCAGUUUAACUUGAUCCCUGUUUUUCCCACAAAAAUGUAGUACAGCAAUCCUGAUGGCUUCUAGACUGCUGAUUGUCACUGUGGGAUGUGACGAUAGGUCUUCACCACUGAGCAAGUGUCCAUGUGUUCAUGUUCGGCCAUGCUACCGCCUUGAAUAAUUUCUGCUUCUUGCUUCUCUGCCUCUCUUGCUUUUUCUUCCUCUCCCCAUCUAACCUUGGCCAUGUCAUUCCUUUUUUACAUACCUUCUUGAGCUUCCUUCAUUUUUUCCUUUAGUGUUCACAUCACGACUUUCUAAGUACAUCUACAUCAUACAUCCUCGCUUCCCUUUAUUUUCUUCCCAUGUGUCCUCCAUUGAGUAUGUAGCUUUCAAACUUUACCAAACAAUACCUAUACCUUUCAAAACUUAUUUAACUGCCCACACUCUUUUCCUAGAUGCACGAGAAGAGUUGUUUGUCACAGUCCUGCAUUAUUCAGAUGUGCCUCAGUAUCUUUUUAUAUCUGUUGAGACAUACAGGUGUAUUUGUUGUCAGAACUCUUGAAGAGGAGCAGCAAUAUUUUUCAAAUUACUGUUGUAUGGGGGAUUCAGUUUUUGGUGAGCAACCUUCAAGGAUGUUUUGGUGUUCCAGAAUGUUACAAGCUCUGGCAUGAACACUCAAGAGUAUAAAAGGAGAAGUUUUCACUCUAAUUAUUGUUUUUGAAGAUUCAGCUCUUUGGGCAGAAGGAGCUGUAGAUAACUGAGCCAAAUAAACAGAUGGGAUCUUCUAACCCAGCUGAAGGAGCUGCCCUUCCUGUGGAAGGUUCAAAGAGAGGAUUUCAGAGCUGGGAAAAUAUCUCCAUCACCUGCUGUGUCUGAGAACUCAGUGCUUCCCAGUGGGCAUCACAGAGAAAUUCCUCAAGGAGGGAGAGACUCACGGUUGAGUUAGAAGGACUUCACCAGCCAAACACUGAUCAGGAUAUUUUGUUAUUCUUAUGCGUUCUGAAGCAUUCACAUGUAAAAAGUAGCAGUAGCUGUACAUCUUCUCAGGAGGAAUGAAACAAACAGGACAAUAUUUGUAGAGGGAGAUGAGGUCACACCAAUACCAAGAAUGAGAGCAAUUAUCAUCGUUUUGUUAAUUUGCAGUGUUAUGACAGCCUGAAAAAUAACUUACGAGCCAUAAUAAAAGACUUGCUCCUUGUUUUCCAAAUAGAGACGUGCUGAGAAGAGGAGUGCAGGGAGGGUUCUGCUACAGAGCAAGAAGUACUGAGCUUACCAAUACAAGAUAAAUGGUCAGUGUGAGCUAUGGGAGGGAGGAUCAAGUGAGUUUCUUUGCGAUGGUCUGGUCAAAAAGCAAGAAGAGAGGCAGACAAGCCUGUGCUCGCUGGUGGCAUCCUGCUUUUGUGCCAAGGUACUAGAUUCUUUUGCUUCUGCGAGAUGGACUACCAACAAAAAAGAAAUCAGUGUAAUUGUCAACAAAAUUAUUUUCUGAGGGAAAGUGGUUAAAUGAAACGAAUGGUUCUGGAUGGCGUUAAAUGUAUAACAAAUCUGCCAGCCAAAAAUAUAAAUAAAUGGAAAUCUAAAUGCAAGCCACUUAAUCAUUUCUAUUUGUUUUUCCUAGAUAGCAUCCAAAAUAAAAAUUGAUCAGGAAAGAUGGAAAAAUAAAAUGAACAAUCCAAAAUCUGUUGCGCUUGGGAGUGAGUAGCCAGAUCCAAAUGUGGCUGUUCACUGCUACAGGGUUAGGAUGAAGGUACUCAAAAGGAAAUGGAGGAUGUCUUCAGGGUUCCCACAAGAAAUCUGAAUGUAUGUCUGUCUGUCUUCAUCUGUGCUAAAGGGCACGUUGCUGAAAGACAUAGCCAGUGCUUGCUGUUGUUUUUAUAACUCCACUCAAAAGACAUUGGUGAUCUGCAUAAUUAAACCAAAUGCUAGCAAGCCUAAUUUCUCUAGUGUCGUCUUGAGUGGCACGUGUCUAUAAACAUCUAUUACACAGAAUUAAUGAACAAGUGAGCAGUGUUCCCUGUGACCUUGAUGAUAAAAACUUUUUAAACGUUCUGCUUCCAUGCUGCAGUUCGGUGUGCUUGGUCUAUACAAAGUGUUCUUGGAAGGGAAGAAUAGGUAAAAAUUCUUCUGAGAUAUUUCCAAGAGAAUAAGAGUUAUUCCUUAUCCUGCCCUCCCUCUAUAUAUACACAGCUGGGUAUGUAGAACUCAUUUUCCGUCAUGUUCUAUUGACCCUCCUGGAACCUAAUGCUAAGCAGAUACUGUUUCUCUUGAGGUGAUCAUUAAAAUUCAUGGAUCAGAAAGAAAUACUGAGCAGCAAGGAAAAUUUGCUGUCAAUACUUACAUGAAAGAGAAGUUGAUUUUUCUUAAAUCAGAACAAAAUUGUGUUGUGGAAUAUGCAUUGUUAAGUGCAUUCCAGUGCAUUGAAAAAUGAUGGCUGUGGCAGAGUUAAGUUAGUUGUGGCCCAGGAUCCAUCCUCUGUUUUGGGCUGUAGGUUUUCCAGAACCAACUUAAAAUACUUUUGUGCAUUUUGAGCACAGAUGUAUUCAUUAACUUUCUCUGGCUGUGUGGAUGACUUGUGAAUGAUUUCUUCAACCUGAAUGGAGAAUACAAAAACCUCAGUGUAGGGAAUAUGGAAACACAUGUAUAGAUUGAAGUCUGCCUUGAUUCAAGGCACACUUUUUUUUUUUUUUGGUAUAGAUUCUGAACCAUUAAAGUUCAUAGAGGACUUCCUUCCUAUCACUGCACCCUAAAGAUAUCAGAAAUCAGUUGUAGAAAUGGGUCUUUGCCACAUAUUUUUUCAGUUAGAGUUAGCGAUAAAAUUAGACUCUUCUUUUUUUUUGCUGUCUCAGGGAUAUUGAUCACAUGGGAUUAUUUCCAUUCCAUGCCUCAGAAGAGCCAUGAGGCUCGACAUGCAUAGUCAUGGUUAAAAGUUCAAAAUUCCAACACCGUAAUUAUUCUGUUUGAAUUUGUUGCAGCACUGACAGUGUCAGUGACAAGACUGUCAAGAAAAGACCAUAUAUGAGAAUGAAAAUAUAAGUCAUUCUUGCACUGCAUAGCUGGCAAUCAUAAAGGAAAGACAGAGAUUCUUAUCCUUAUUUCUCCAACCUUGACAGAUGGACAGAAAAGCUGAGUCAUAUUAACUGAUAAUUGGCAGAUAAAAUAGAUCAGGUCAAGCACGUUCCAUGGAAUAUGUCAUGUGCAAUUAAUCUUCACAGGAACUGUAACUUGAUUUUCCACAGCGCUUUGACAUAAUGGUGAAGAAUCUAGACUGCUUUAAGCUACAUUCAUCCUGUUAUUUAUAUAUAUAAAUAUUUUAUUGCAACAGUUUUCUUGCAGGUAUUUGGCACAUCCAAGAUUUAAGGAAUUUUUAUUAUCUCCAAGUUUUUUUACCCAUGAAAAGGUUGUAAUUGUGUUGGUUAAGCUAUACUGUUUGGCUAAAUUAUGAGAGAUUACUUGUAUUCCAGGGUGGGAUGAUCUCUUCUGCUUUGCACAUCAGUUCUGUAUCCUGGGGGAGCCCCAUGUCAGCCCCUGACCUGCAUUGCAGUCUCUGUUAUUGCUCCAUGAGUCUGCAAACUCUGGCAUUAUGUCUGACUCUAAGCCACGAAGGACCUGAUUCAGAAGACAUUUAAGAGUGAAUCUGUUUACUUAACGUGGGUUUUGGGUAAGGGCUGGAAGGCCCACGUCUGCUCCUGGUGAAGGGACAGAUGAUUGUCUCCUACUCUGUUGUAGUUCUACUUUACUACUUAGUAAAUCUAAGGUAGAAGAGGACUGAUUAAUUGGUGGUACACAGAAAUAAAUGCUGUCACUAUUAAACAUGGCCACUGAAGAUGAACACAGAUAAUCAUAAUUUCUGCUGUGAAUAACACCAUCAGGAGAAAUAUCAGGAGGCAGAAGGACUGGCAUCACGUUUACUGCUUAAUUUUUCUGUUUAGCUACUAUGCCAUAACAUGCCCAACCCAGCUUUGGAUCUAGGUUUUGGAGGGGUUUGGAGGUGAGUCUCUCAGUUCUUAGUUCCUUUCAGAAAGAUUGCCCAGUGUAUCUGGCGUUGUGCAUGAGAAACAAGCAAACAAAUAAAUAAAGAGGAACCCUCACAGGAUUCAUUUCUUCAGAAUAGUCUUUGGCCACAGGAGGGCAAUACUGUUCUAUAAUAAAUCCGGUAUGCUUUAUUCACUGAAAAUCUGGUUUGCAAACAGAUGCCUGAAGAGGGGAGUGGGAUUGAUCAUGUUUAACAGCCACCAAAGCCAUAUUGAUCAGAAAGUGGAUUUAUGCCUUUAGCUGUGUUUUCAGGUGUUGACCAGCUAGUCCUCCCAACACUGCUGUGGAGAUCAUCAUGCUUUUCAGAAGAGAAAAUUGCAGCACAGAAACAGAUUUAAGGAACUGCUUCUUCUCCAUCCUUGGUUACAAUUGCUGCUUGUUUAUUUCCUCCUUCCUUUUGCACUCGGAAUUGGAGGCCAGAACCAAGAGGUGGCACAAGAAAUACAACAGAUUUCGAGAACACCUUUCGAAGAUUUGAAGGGCAGCGGCAGCAGCAGUUUUGAGAGAAGAGUGGUUUCUUAAUCAAGCACAACAAAUCCAACAAAAAGCUUCCUUCUGUCAAGAAGGCAGCAAGAGCACAAGGGAGUCCUGUGCUGAAAGUCACAGAGGCUGCUAUGCAGUGCAUCAUACUGAUUGUACCACUUCUGCUCAAACACCAUUGACUGUAGCCAGGACUCUUCUGUCAAGCAGGAAAAUAAUACUGCUAGCCUGGAAGCAUGGAGGUUUGAAUGGAAUUGCAUUUAGGCUAGAUAUGAAGAUGAUUGCUGUAUUUUGAAAAAUCCACCUUGUAAUAUCUCGGUUAGUGACAGCCUUGGCUGAAGUGAUCACGAUAUUAUGGAGUCUGGGAUUCGGCUGAGCACACUGAAGGUUUUUAUCUUCAUUACUUCAAGGUGGGUGCGAACAACAGUAAUCCUUGCUUUCAUCCUGGUGUGCAACGGGAUGUGGUCAGCAGUGUCUGUAUGGAAAGCUGAAGGAGGAAAGGCAGAAACACAGUGCUCGGCAUCCUUCCCCAAGGUCUGGAAAAUUCUCUUCCAAUACACAUUGCACUGUGGGAGUUAUGGGAGAGAGUUUGGUCUCCACAGGCCCCCGUGCCAAGUUUCUUUUCAGGUGCCUUCUCUGUUGCAGAAGUCUUUCCACAAAGCAACAGCCUGUUUUAUGAAACAGGACCAGAGGGAGCAAAGGAAGGGGAAGAGCAUUUCUAGGGAUUUAUUCCUCUUCUGCAGAAUAGGAAGCUGCUGCUGUGGGUGCUUAAGUCAAUGAAGCAUUGGAUUUGCUUUCUCCCUGGGCUCGGAUCAUUAGCUGUCGUGUUAUUAUCCGUGUCUAGGUUAAUCUAGGACUAUUUCAGUUCUCUGGGGAUUUGAAACAUGGGAGAAAAAACACAUCCCUCAAUGACCUCUUCCUUUAAUGGUUACCUCCCCUUGGAGCACCAGGGUCUGUUUGCCCUACUGCAUGUUAUGGUGGCACUAAUAAGAGGAGGAAGAGUCUCAAUCACAGUGAACUAAGGAGGCCUUUGCACAGCAGAGAAUUUGGAAGGUGCUGAUUAGAGCUUGCUGUCUUCUAAAAUUAUGCACUGUUUUGUUUAUAAACUUGCUCCUGAGCAUGACUGAUUAUUUUUCUCUUUAGUAAUUGCAUCCAGGAUGAACAUCAUGACUGGAGGGCUUGGAUGUGGUGAUAAAGAUGACUCACAUCUAAAGCAGGAUCACAGUUUAUGGAAAAAGAUCUGCAGAGAGCAGAAAAGCUGCAAAACCAAGGAAAAGCAAAGUGCAUAUCUGUAUCAGGCAUAAAUAUCCGAGAAGGAGGAGUAGGUACAGCAAACAAGAGGGGAUCAAUCUUUCCUAAUGACAGCAGCAGAAGUGCUGUAGUCCUGAUUCUCUGCAGCUGCAAACGGGUAGAGCUGGAUCCAGGAGAUAAACAAACAAAAGCCUCUUGAAGCUAUAGUAGUUUAUAUCAUUCAAAAAGUGGUUCAAGAAACCCUGGAAGUGAAGCUUGCAUUUCGUUACCAAUAAUAACCUUUUGUAAGUAAGUCUGGCUUGAAAACCACUUCAAAUGAUGUGUUUCAAGAAUUGGCUCAUUAUGUCCAUCAUGGUUAUAGUCUGUCAAUUGCAGGGGGUGUAUUGUACAUUAUGAUAUCAAUGUAUAGUGAAUGACUUCAAACAUCACUGGAUGCAACUGCUUUUUGAAAAAUCACUCUGAGCGCUUGAUGGGGACCGACUGUCUUUCUGAUCAUAAGCAGCAGCCAAGCCAAUAAAAGCAAUCUUGAAAUACAGAAACCAGCUACUUAAAACAGUAGGGAUGAGUCUGCUGUCACCUGAUUGUUGGAACUGACCACUGCUGAAAUAAAAUACUGUUUUUCACAGGUCAGUUCUGAAACAAUUAAUAAACAUUUGCAGAAAAUGGAUGCAUGUACUGAAUGUAUGUUAACACAGGAGCCUGUGAAGCCCUGCAGCUGGUGGAAACACAUGACACUCAACAUGUCCUUCCACAACCACGCGUAUCUGUCAGAGAAAAGCUAUUAAAUAUCUGAUUCCAGAACCUCUGUUUUUCUUCAGGUUCAUGACCAUGUGGUGUGGUAAAUUCUUUGUUUUUCAGCUGCAGUAAUACUGAGAAGCUCUUAAAUUGGGUAUGUGAGAUCUGGUGGGCCAGAAGUGUCGAUAUCAACAUGUGAACUUUCUCUAACCAUGGAAAUUUAAUGUGAGUCAUACCAGACAAACUAAAAUGCUGGAGACUUAAGUCUGUAAAGUGACCAGAUCAAAUAGUUAUGUAAAGAAGGAAAAUAGAUCAGAAUAAGCAGGAGCUCAUUUUCUGUCAUUGGUCUCAAUUUCAAUACAAAAUGAUUUGCUGAAUAGUGGGCUCUACCCAGAGGCAGCUAAUAACUGGUUUCUGAUUUUCUUAGUACAUGUUUUAAAUUACCAGUGGCAUUGCAGACAUUUUCCCCCACUCCCUAAUUAAAAGAAACACAAUUUUUUGGUAUAAAGAUUUAGUACCUUUGGAUCCUAUAUUGUCAUAGACUUAAAGUUCCCUUUCUUGGAAUACUAACUUACUCUGGUUUUCAGUCCUAGAAUAGCUAGAAUAUUUGUAGCAGAUAAGCAGAGAAACAGACACCCAGAGCAAAUUCAUUUAGUACCUCAUGGCAAGGCUACUAAAGGAAAUGGCACUUUCAUAUCCACCUCAAUGAGCUUUGAUUAGGCCCUUCAGGAACUUAUUUCUGUAGGAUUAAUUCCAUUCUGUGAUUUCUAUUUCAAAUUAAUAAACAGAUCCAGAGGGACAGAAUUCACACAUCACCCAUAAAACAUCUCAUUCAGCUGUUUCUAGAAGUUGCUGCAUAGCUUUUUCUUUCAGUUUUGCUGUUGAGUUUGAAGUCUUUUAAAAUGUCAUUACCUUUUGCAGCACUGAGACUUUUGCAGUAAGCAGAAUGUCAGAGAGUAGGUAUGUGAAUUCCCUCACAUUCUUGCUUGCAUGUCGCUGAUGUCGGCGAGUUUACUCUUUCUGUGUCAACCAUAGUUUUUCUUUCAAUUAGUAAGGCGGUUAACUAUCAGAGCGUAUAAUCCCCCAAUUUAAUUUUUCUCAUGUGGUUCAUUGCCUCUCUUAUCUGCUAAUUAAAAAGGUUAAGCAAGGUUUUUGUUGAUGAAAUGCAGCCACUGCAUUUUCUCCUGCAAUUUCAGAGAAGUGUCCCACAUGUUUAUUUAUGUUUUAUAUUCAUUUACAUUAGCAUAGUGUACAAACUCAUUUCCCACCAACAAACCAAACCCUUCAGUCCUUUGGAGCCUGGAAAACUGUGGUGAACAUGUCUGUGUUGAACAUGUCUGUGGCGACAGCUUGCUUUGAUCUGUCCAUCCAUCUGUGCAGGUUUUAAUAUUGAGCCACUCACAGAUGUAUUUGCAGAAACCUUGACUUUUUUCACAAAGCCUUUCCUUAUCCAUGUCAUAAUUUUUGAAAAUGAUUGUCAUCUUUGCCAGCACAGUAGUUUCCUUAGCUGUGUUUCUAACAUGGUGUUCAGAAUUAAAAACUUGCACUGUGUUGCUGGUGAGUUAAGUAAUUUAAAUCACCCCUCAUUAAGUGAUUCCCAUAGACCUUUCGUGAACACAUCUCGCCUCUUUAUUCCUGAAACCCAUUGAUGUACCAUCAUCUGUUUGUGUCUGUCAUUCCUUAUCUAACACUUUGGCUCCAAAUGACUGGAGAAGUGACCAUCUUUCCCUUUUUUAUCAAAGAUCUAGAAAAGAGGAGACCCAACACAUCACCAAGGCUCCUAGGAGCAAGGUUAUUUCUUGCAAAUAUUAAUCCAUUAAGUGCUAUAUGAAAAGCAGACAAAAGGUAGCAAUAUAUGUAUGUCAGCUGAGAAACAACAUCAUUUGUAUUAUUAAUAAAUACAACAGCUCUCAUCCAUUUUCCAAUCAAUUCAGAUUGCUAUACAGCUGUAUUAUUGGAUUAUUCACUCUUAAAUUGUAGACAGGUGCUUUUUAAUAACAUAAAAAAAAAUCUGAAUGGAAUCAAAUCAGUAAGAGACAAAGGAAGAUCCAUAAUGGAACUGAAUUAUUUCAAUUAGCAUCUGUCUCACUCAGGCAGUGUUAUUGAGAGAAGCAGGGCUGGGAAGUUAAAGUUCGUGUUUCAUCCAAGCAGGAUCAGUGGGAUCCCUGUGCUGUUCUUGUUGGCGUUCCUGUUCUCAGCAGGAACAGGGCUUGAUCCAGAAAGUGCCGACAAUUUUUUUCACCUGCCAGGCUCAUAAUCCUUCCCAAAGUGCCUUUUUUAAGAGUCUUCUAGUUUAUGUCUUACCUCUUUCCUCUCUUUCAGAGGAGCUGGAGAAACCGAGGUUGCAUUGGAUGAGGGGCAGCUGUACAACAUCUUGGUAGUACUGAGACUGGGAAUUUACUGCCCCAUCUCAUGCCUUAUUCUAUAGAUGCAGGGUCAGAGGGGUGUCAGGUUUGCAAGGAGACAAUCCUAGUUGUCCUUCUGGUCUAUCCGAAUAAAUGUUGGCUAACAAGCUGUGAAGCUCUGGUUGUUGUGUGCCUGGGUACCAGCUCAUGUAACAUUUGCAGUCAGGGUUUAAGAGCAACUCUGUAUGUAUGGAGCAUAUAGUACAAGGACAACAGAGUCCUGUCUGACAGCAUAUUGUAAAAAUAACCUAAUAAUUCACCUAUUAGACUUUACUUUGUGGUAUAAUUUAUCAUAUAGUCUUGUCAUACAGUUUCAUUUUACUUGAUUGCAUUGACUUUUGUUGUAAAAACUCCUAUAUUAAAGUGGAGAGUGUGUUAGAGACACUUAAUUUUUUUUCCUCUGUGAUAUUUCACUCUGACUUUAAAGUUCUUGGCAUGAAACCAGAAGACAACAGAAAACUCAUAGGCAAUAUAACCCCAGUAAGAAAGACAAAGCUCUCUUCUUAGGAAAUGUCUAUUAAAGAGCUACUUGGGCCAUAUGGAGAAAUUGUUGUUACUCCCUCAGCACAGAUAUAACAAGGCAUAAUAGCUAAUUGAAAUGACAAAUUAUUUCUAUUUAGAAUUAGAGACACAUUCUGCAUUGACAGUAUCUCUUUGACUGUGCCAUUAAGAUGAAGCAGGAAAUAAGAAAAUCAAAGUGAUAAAGAAUAGUAGUGCUCAUAAUGGAGAGCCACGAAUGUUUUGUAGAAAUAGGCAUUGUUCCACUUGUCUUCAGUGAGGGCUGUAUUGUAUUGGUUGGUGGGAAGAUGCCAGUGCACUGUAUUAUAAAGAAGCCUAUGACCUUCUUAAAUCACUACAAAACUGCGGCAGAUUAACGAAAUGCCUUAGGACUUAGAGUGGAAAAACCUUUUUAAUAUUUCAUGUGCCCUGACUUACAGCAGGAAAUAAAUCAGUAUUUCAUGUUGUAAUAAACUUUAGCUUUUUUUUUUUUUUCUAGGAGUAACAUUCAUCCAAGAAACUACAUUCUUAAAAGAAAUAUUGAACAAAAACUAGAGAAAGUUAUUAAAGCUUCAUGUGAACAACCAAACAAGGCAUUGCUGACUUUCUAUUUGUCUUCCCGUAAAGGUGAUACUGUAGCAAUAAUAGAUGUAAGGCAAUAAUGGACAUAAACCAAAUAGAAAUACUCAGAAAACCAAGGAGAUAAUAAAACUGGUAAUACUGAGGAAAUUAUAAGUCUGAUUCUGACUUUUUCUUAUAUAGGUGGACGAAUAUCAGAAACAUCACUGGAGUCACCUGGGAGUACAUGAUAGAAAAAGCAGUCCAUGUAUCUUGAAGGAAAAAUAAGAGACUAAAGUAUUGCAUGUUAGUUCAAAUGUGAAAAGAAUAAUGAAUUAUACUGCAAAAUGAAGACGGGUGCUAACCAAAAUGAGCACAUUUUAUAAACAAAGAUUAAGCCAUAUUUGAAGUAUUUCUGGAGGUUUUCACAAGAUGGGGAGGGUUUACCAAGAUACAGUUACUGUAGGAUUGUACCAUCCAUGGUUGUAAUCGCUGUUGGCACACUGUACUGCAGAACUGAGCAAGUGCAGCUCUGGCAUUGUCCUUCAGCCAAAUAAAUGUCUGCCCUGUUGUUAAACCAUCAGCUGGGGAGGUGCUAGAAACGUAUGGACUGAGCCUGAAGAGCCGUCAGUUCCUGAGACCUAAUCUCAUGUCUGAAACCCACUGGACACUAAACUGUUACUACUGAUUCCACUCAGUUUGGCUGCUUUUUGAGAGGAAUUUGUGAGGGCUGUGUUUCACACUGUCUGGGUACCCACAGUGUCAGGAGCACUGAGGGGGUAAUAUGGGACCUGAGCACCAACUAAAACCAGGACUUGGUGUCCCUUGUAGUGUAGAGGUGAGUUUCAAAAUCUUAUCUUGCUUUCUCUGCCUGUUAGCCUGCACAUUUUAGUGUAUGAUUAUUCUGUGACUGAAUUGCCAGAACAAUGGAUAUGCUGAGGUAUAAUUAUUGCUUGGUAUGAAGAAAUCAGUGAUUAAUAAUGCAACAUUGAUUACUAUUUGUGAAGUCUAAAAUGACUGAGAAAUAAAAUUAUUUUCAAAUGAGGAUUGCAAAAUGCUAUACAAUUAGAGUUUCCUCUAAGGCAAGGAGACCUUCCUCCUGAUGAGGAUCAGAAUAUUAUUUCCUUAAUGCUGAUGUUGACCUCACUUACGUUGUAGACAGUGAACCAUGAAUAAGAGAUAAAAUAAUAUUUUUGGCUCUGACUUACAGGAAUAAACCCCUUUGGUAACUGACAUACAAGUAUUACAUAACCCACCAUGUUUAGCCAUGAGGAAUUAGUUCAGCAAGCGUUUUAGUAUCUUGGUUUUGGAAUUGCUGUCCAGAAGUAUUAAGCUAUAGCUUUCACAUAGUUGGGCAAUAACAUUGUUUCACUGGAGGAUCAUUCUUACUGGUCAGGCGUGACCUACAUGCUGAAAAAUAUUAUGGUAGGCAGCUGUGAUAUAGCUAAUUAUCUGAUACACCACAAGGCAAUGUUACCAUCUACAGGUCAUUUGUAUGUUCUUCCAUAUUUUUGUUUCUAGCAGACUCAUAUAUGCUUGUCUAAAGACACACUUAGAUCAGUUUGUAAUUUAAAUUAGAUGUUACUGUUUUCAUACCUAACUAAUGACUUAAAAACUAAAAGACAAUUUAAUUAUGUGAUCUCCUUCUAUUCUCGUGCCCAUGGAGAUGCAACAUUUUAAUUAUUUUUUCUGUACAUUAGGUCUGUGGCAGUUGCGCAUCCCCCUGAGAUCUGGAGACUUCAAUGGGGCAGCUGGUGGCUCUUUUAGCACCUUUUGUUCCCCACCGUGCCUGUCCCCACAUACACACCUAGGGUGGUACCAAGGUGCUGACAGUCACAUCUUCCCCUACCCCGGGGCAGGGUGACUUCACCUCCACCAGCUGGUGGGACAGGAGUGGUGAGACUCUCGAUCAGAUCAGUUGACAGAGUCAUUAGCAGAGGAGGUGCUCAGAGUAGCUGCAAAGCUUCUGGACCAUGUUGUAAUGCCCACAGCCAGAUCUGAACAGGUUAUAAAACGGGGUCCCUGCCUAGGCCCCCUUUUGGAGUGGUUUUCUCAGAGCAGUGAGUCUAUGAACUGGAGCCCUCUCCUUAGUCUGGGAUGCUGUCUGAGGAGACUUCUUGGGAUUGAGAGCGCCUCACCUCCUCGUUUGGGUGCGUGUUUAUUACUGGAUAUAUCCUUGAACGAGUCCUUGCCUAACCUUGAUAUCUGAACCUGUAUUUUAUGUUGUCAGAGUGCUAACUAAUUGCAUAAACCCUGUUUCUAGUCAGCAUAUUGGCUACACUUUUCCGGCUAGAAGAAAGUCUCUUUUGGUACUUGUUGUCCACCUAAAACUGACGUUGGGGUGCCUCUGUGACAAGGUCAAAUAUAUUCUUAGAACUGCAUUUCCUCCUUAAGAAAGAAUUUUGCUACCAAUAGUCUACAACACACGAGCAUCCUGGAAAACCUCAUGAACCUGUGUAAAGAUGGAAGUGGAAGCUAUUUUGUUUAAAGAUGUCUUUUCUCCAAUAUUCUUGGAAGCUAUGCAGCUUUCAUAAGCAAUGUCCACUCAACAGAGACUUGGAGUCUAACUGUGUUUUUACAUGUAAUGGUUUCAGUUUCUUCUAUUUUCACUAAUAUGAAAGAAAAUUUGUUUUAUUUUCUAUGUUAAUUUUUGAUUUUAAAAUCUACAGUUAAAAAAAAAUAAUUUUAGCCCCACAACUCAUGCAGUGUUCUCCAAUGGUGCUCUAUUUGCCUUGCUCCAUUCAAUUCAGAGAAGCUUCAGAUAUCCCAAAGUUCUACAAAAUAAGACUUCACUGCCUUCACUAGCAGCUUUUGAAGAUAUUUGUAACCACGUUUUUCUUCUUAAGUCAGUGAUACUAAAAUAUGGAAGGUUUCUGUAUAUAUAGAAGUCACUCAGAAAAUAACCUUAAUCAUCUGAUGGAUGUCUAUAAAGGGAAGUAGUUUUUGCUUUAAAUAAAGUUACUGAAAGAGUUUCAAGAUGGCAAAGAAAACAUUGAAGCACAGGACAUUCAGAGUUAAAACUGCUCAUGAAAGCUUGAUCUUUCUACUGUGUGCAUAUGAAUUGUGACACUGUUUUAAUUACCAUAGUCAUACUUUCCCACCUUCCCUCCCUUCAAGAUAUCUGCCAGUUUCAAGACCUAUUUGGCAAGUCUAUCAUCUUCUUCUUCCUUUGAGUUGAUUUCAGUUCUAUGCUCAUGGGAUAUGCUGGUCGAGAUUUAUUGUUGGCUUUUCAGGUGCUUGUGACCAAUGGGUUGGAAGACUCAGAAUAAGACUGUCACAAGCAUAAAUAAGGCUGUUACAUACAAAUCCCACUUAUGCACUCAUCUGGGUCUUCCAACCCUGUGCUCCAAGCGGAGGCCACAGCUCUGACUCCCAGUGCUGGGAGAUGUCCCUCCCUUUACAGGGCCUCUGGCUGGACUGGGAUAUCCAGUUCUGGAAAGAUCAGGUCAGGCAUUUUUGUGUGUGUCUUUUAUAUUCCUCCCCCGCCUCAGUUUUCCUUUCACUUGUGCCUCCUGCACCAUGAUUUAUUCUUCAUGGGGCUGUAAUGCAAAGUCAAAGCUCUAUUAUCUAAAAUCAGCAACCUCUGCAAUGCUACUUGAAGGUGUAGCAUGGUUACCACUACCAUACAGAGCCAAAUGGAUGAACAGUUAAUGGCAUUAAUACCUCCCAGUGGGGAGGACAAGAUGUCAUCUCACUUCAGUGAUGCUCAGCUUCUGCUCAAUAACCUGUUUUUUAGCAUGUUUCCUUUGUUUACAUCCCUGCUAACUGGGCAUUCAAUUUUGAAGUGUCAAAGGCUUGUCCGAUAAUUUAAAGUAACAUAUUCUGGAGGACAGCACUCUGCCACAGCUGUAUACCUCUGGUGACCUCUCAGUGCUCAUUUUCUCUUGGUAUUAAACAGAGACAUUUCAGAUCCUCUGUGGCAUUUUAAAUGGGUUUGGUUUGGGAAGUCAAACUGUAAACAUAAGAUAACUAUCUUGAUCAUUAUAAAACCAACCAACAAAGUUCACAUUCUGCUUGGAGCCAUUUAAAAUCUUUCCCAGUUUUUCCAGGUAUGUUACCCUUAGAGAACAAUUUGAACUAAUUUAUCAUUCCACCAUAUUUAAACUAAUUGAUUCAGCCUUAACCCCAUUCAAAAUGUGGAACUUCUAAUGCAGUUGUGAGAUGCUAUAUUGAAUGGUCAUUAAUAUAGCAUUGGGACAGCAGAGUAGCAAUGUGUUCACUGCCCAUUUCAGUGACUUUACCUGUGCAGUUUGCUGGUGACUGUCUUUUUCUUUAUAGGUAUUACAGAGCCAAGCUACCUGGAUUUCAAUCUGAAAUCUUCUAGUCCAAGUGCUGAUAAAUAGGAAAGAAUAUAGCCCGCAGUAAGACACUGUGGUGUGGGAUACCAGGCUUGCAAGUCAGGAAACACAAGGACUCAUUUCUCAGUCACUGACCUGCCAUGUCUCUUUGUUGGUGCAAUUUCUCCUUCCCCUGCAUCUCAUCUGUUUUGUAAGCUUCUGAAGCAGGACACAAUCGUGUUUAACAUUUGCUCAGGGAGCAGAAAACAAGAAGCCUCAAGAUAAAAUAUCCCCUUUCUAAGCUGCAUGGGAUGGAAACAAGUAUAAUGGAAAAACGAUGGUAACAGAGGGCAAACACAUAUAAUAACUUUAGUCCUGACCGCUUGAGGAGGAUGGGCCUUUAUUGCUUUUUGAUUUCUCAUGAUGGCCUCGUCACUUAAUGCCAUAUCCUUGGAAACUAAUAGCUGACAUCUUUCAAAGCAAAAUGCAGUAUGGUUGUAUAACUGCUAAAAAUGAUUAGUUGUGAACACAACAAAUUUUAAUUAAUUAAUUAAUUAAUUUACUUAUACUCCCAGUAGGCAGAAUGAUAUUAUUUUGUGGGUGAAAUACAUUAAAUUAAAACUUGAGCUGCAGGGAGAGAACUAAGCUGUUCUUCCAGUUCAAAUAGUUUAGGCCACAGAAAGUGGAUGAUAAUAUUUAAGUAUCCAAGUAUUGCAUCUCAGUGAAUUUGAAGGUAACUUUGGCUUUGUUCCAAAAUGGCAUUUUUCUGUGUGAAAUGAACCUAAAUUAAAAGUGCAGAUUUAGCUUCAUAUUCUUGUCAUCUUUUGACCAGACCGAACAAUCUCAGCUCUGCACCUACUUUUCUGCAGCUGGACAGAAAAACAUAAUUAUUUUUCAAGAGGAAAGCCACUUUUGCCCACACUAAUGUGACCAAUAUUCAUUCAUUUUUCAAUCAGCCUAAGUGGCCGUACUCAUUAAAUCUCCAUAGUUUGUUUACUUUUAAAACAUGUCCAUAUCUCUUUUCAUUUAAGUGAAAUAUCACCAUUGUAGCAGUCUGGUGUCCUUUUCAGAUUUACUUUUAAGGAAAUUAAGCAAUUAUCUUCAAGCCAUCUAUAAACUAGAAAAUGCAUGUCAAAAACUGUACUAAGUAAAUGGCUUCAUAAUUACAGCUAUGCUGAGAUGUUUGACAGAUAAUCUCAUGCUGACAAAACCCCAGGUCCCUGCAGAGGUCAAAGGAAACCUGACACGGAGGUGCUGAAGUGCCAGCACUUUUCAGGCUGCUCCCAGUAUGUGAACUGAUGACCCUUCUGAGAUGGAAGGUAAAUACAGAAUGAAUUCAUGUACUGUGAUCUUGCUCUGCUUAUCAUUAUGUUUAAGAUGCAAAUGAACCAAGAUGUGGAUGACGGGGAGGGACUAAGGGAUUGGGAUGUGCAUGAGGAACCAAGCUUCAAUAGAUCUCUGCAGUGUUUUUUCACCUCAGCAGAGUAUGUGAUUGGAAUGAGUGUUGAAUGCUUUCCUAACUCUGACAUAGUUAAAUGUAAUUUGGUGGUGUAUGCUUGAAUAGGUAGGUUUCUGAGACCGACUGCAAAUUCGAGGUACAGACACCAUCCCCUGGAAACAAGAGCUGGUUAUCCUCCCACCGCUGAGAGGUUGUGCUCUGCAGACCACAGCAAUGGCAGAAUUUCUCUGUCCCUGCUCUGGACAUGUCUGGAGCCAGGGCUGGGUUACCACUGAGAUGGAAGUCAAACCCUUGAAUUUGCCAUUCCUGGGGAGUAGGCAAUGACAUGUUACCUGCCCUGGGGAAGAAUUCCUGGCUGUAUAAUACAGGAGGAGAUACAACAAGUGUCCACUCAAAUAAUUGAUCAUGAAUUUCUCACCUUGCAAAGACUUAUGGUUAUUUCAGAGAAUGUGUGUGCACUCACUAGGGACCAGGAGGCAUUACUUUUUCAAAGAGCAAAGAAUAACUAUGUUAUAGAAGCUAUUCUAGGAAUAGCUUUGAAGCAAGGAAUGUGAGAUAAUCCUAUUUAUUUUGAUGGAGUCAGGGCUACAGACUGUUAUAGUCCAGCUCUGAGUAUGUAUUUUUAACUUCAUUUUAUAAGUUGGAAAUUGGAUAAGAGAGUUCAUAAUCCUGUUCUGGUAAAGAGCAUCCUUAUAGGCCUUCUUUUUAAGUUUUCAUAGGGGACUUUCUCAAUAGUAGCUAUGUGUAGGCUACAGGGGCAGGAUUCAGAGUGAAAGCACAAAACAUCCUUGCAAAAAAGAGGCCAUUUGCUAUUAACUAAUCCACAUAAUUAAUUGUUUAACAAAAUAGUAUUUUCUUAGCAAGGUACUUACUUCCCUACGAACAAAUGCCUCGUUAAUUCUGAGUCCUUCAGCCUUUAUUCAGAAAUUAUUUUUAAGAUGUGAAAUGAAAGUACGGUCUGCCCUGAACACUGAAAUAGCUCAAGACUCAUGGACACCCUAACUGUGAGAUUGCAGAGAAAGUUCCAGCCCAAAUGAACUAAUACAGAGUAGAAAAUAUCAAAAUAACUGAACCAGGACAUCCUCACAGGGACAGGUUAGUCAAGAGUCUCUGUACCUCUAGAUGUACAAAUUCUGGGAAAAUUCUAACAGCAGGGUGGGGGGAAAAUAAAUAAAUGAAUAUUUGAUUCUUGAAAAAAAAAGAAAAAAAAAAGCCAGAAAAUGUUGCAACUCCAACAGAAUACCAACUGAUACACUUCCAUGUUGAGAUCCUGACAACAUGACACUGAAAUAGAUUGUUCCCAGUAAGGCCUUCAGGAUCCAAAGAACAGCACGUAGCAGAAGGGACGUUGGAGAAAUGCCCAGAGGGAGAUAUACACAGUUGCUUGUACAGGUGAUUACCAUUUUGAACUAAUCUACCUGGAUGAAAUCUGGCUUUUUCAUUGUUACGCAGCCUAGUUACCAUGUUCAAAAUGACUUGAAGAAUUUCACUACAUAUAUAUUUUUCUUGAUUAGAAACAGAUCUGAAUCUGGGUUUCCUUAACAUAAAGUCAAAUUUUGAUUAUUCAGAGCCAGCUGCCUCUCAGGCAAUAUCACCAAUGAAAUUCUGCAAAUUACUUAAUGACAUGAUAGGGAAAGUUUAUUUCUUACAUAUCCACCUGGGUUAUUCACUUACGACUAGAAAAUGUACAACGCUACAAUAUUUAUCAGGUCACAGUUCUCAGAGAGUUAACCAAGAGGGGCUUAAGAACAGAAAAGUCUAUAUCUGUAAACAAAUAAUGCACAAACUGGGAUGUCCAUACAAGUGACAGCAAACAUGAAGCAACAAGAAGUAAUGCAUUUUAUACGAGUUUAAAGAAUCAGUGGUUGGUUACCCUAAUAAACUUACCACAAACAACUAUAAGGUUCCAAAUAACCAGUGGCUGCAAACAGCAUUUGGAAUAAGUGCUCAUUGCUGGACCAAGAAAGGCAUUUUACCCAAGCAGACAGCAUCUGAUUCUAACUCUGUAUCAACAGCAGUGAAGGUACUAUGAGGUUAGAGGGGUGUAUGCAUGAAGGAGAAGAAGCUGGGCUAAGGAUUCUUGGCUCUGCAAUGAUAUUGAUCUAAGAGUUGAAAAUAAGUAGAUUUCAAGUUUUAUUCUUUUAUAAGAGCUUCUGUCUCUUUAGUUAGUUUUGGGUGAACUGUCAAACUCUUCACUGGCAUAAAAAAACUGUAGUAGGCUGAUAAUGAGCUUUUAUUAAAGAUCUUCAUUUUGCUUAAGAAAAUGACUUCUGCAGUCUAGCGUCAGCCAGAGAGCUUCUUUUAAUGGUUUCCCCAUUUCACUGAAAGUUUGGGGUUGCAAUUCUGCCCAUUACCAUGAACUGUAAGAAACAUGAACACAGAAACCAGUCUAGCAUACAAAAAAUAUGACAGCGUUUUCCUAAUAUUGCCUAUAUAAAGCUCUUCUGUUGAUUACAAGCAGGAUGAAGUAAAAAUCCUCAGCAAACCUGUGAAAUGAAAAUCAAUGGAAUGAAUACUGAUUCAUGCCUGUUAUUUGCUGAUGACACUGAGCUGGGAGGAGUGGCUGACAUGCCAGAAGGCUGUGCUGCCAUCCAGAGACCUGGACAGACUGGAGAGCUGGGCAGGGAAAAGUUUAAUGACAUAUAACCAGGGCAAGUGUAGAGUCCUGCAUCUGGGCAAUAACAACCUCAGGUUCCAGUAUAAGUUGGGGAAU
This is a long non-coding RNA of Columba livia (rock pigeon), 21509 nucleotides long. RefSeq lists it as uncharacterized. The transcript is spliced from 6 exons. The record is from RefSeq and is a predicted model, not a curated record. NCBI's taxonomy places the organism in Eukaryota, Metazoa, Chordata, Aves, Columbiformes, Columbidae.